CAAAAGUUUCAGCCCCCAGAACUGGGCCCAGCGAGUCGGUCCUUAGGGAGCCGCUUGUGCCCGGGUUUCCCACAGUGACGGGCCCACAACUAGUUGAGCACUUAGAAACUGGAUGACCAUGUGUUAGUGACACUGAUGGUGAUUCCUGUUCAGGGCAAUGGGGGUUAAGUAACUUGCCCAGGGUCACACAGCUAGUAAGUGUCAAGUGUCUGAGGCCGGAUUUGAACUCAGGUACUCCUGAAUCCAGGGCCGGUGCUUUAUCCACUGUGCCACCUAGCUGCCCCUAUAUGCCUUUAUUCAAACUGCUA
Long non-coding RNA from Dromiciops gliroides (monito del monte), 308 nucleotides. RefSeq lists it as uncharacterized. NCBI's taxonomy places the organism in Eukaryota, Metazoa, Chordata, Mammalia, Microbiotheria, Microbiotheriidae. The transcript is spliced from 3 exons. The record is from RefSeq and is a predicted model, not a curated record.